Small nuclear RNA from Callithrix jacchus (white-tufted-ear marmoset), 105 nucleotides. NCBI's taxonomy places the organism in Eukaryota, Metazoa, Chordata, Mammalia, Primates, Cebidae. The record is from Ensembl.
GUGCUUGCUUCUGUGGCACAUAUACUAAAAUUGGAAUAAGACAGAGAAGAUUAGCAUGGUCUCUGCAAGUAUGUUGUAGAAAUUUGUGACGUGUUUGAUAUUUAA